This 99-nucleotide small nucleolar RNA is filed under the name Gallus gallus (chicken). RNAcentral's name for it is "GGN108 snoRNA". Lineage: Eukaryota; Metazoa; Chordata; Aves; Galliformes; Phasianidae. The record is from RNAcentral.
UGGGAGUGAUGAAAUUUUCACCUUAGGUAGAUACGACAGACUGUUCUGGUCGUUAACUGUAUCUGCCAAUGCUGGGGUUUGUCAUAGUUACACUGACCA